This 497-nucleotide ribosomal RNA is filed under the name uncultured bacterium. RNAcentral describes it as "partial 16S ribosomal RNA". It matches the Rfam family "Bacterial small subunit ribosomal RNA", at positions 28 to 507 of the family's 1533-position model. The record is from RNAcentral.
GAUGAACGCUGGCGGCGUGCCUAAUACAUGCAAGUCGAGCGAACAGACGAGGAGCUUGCUCCUCUGACGUUAGCGGCGGACGGGUGAGUAACACGUGGAUAACCUACCUAUAAGACUGGGAUAACUUCGGGAAACCGGAGCUAAUACCGGAUAAUAUAUUGAACCGCAUGGUUCAUUAGUGAAAGACGGUUUUGCUGUCACUUAUAGAUGGAUCCGCGCCGCAUUAGCUAGUUGGUAAGGUAACGGCUUACCAAGGCAACGAUGCGUAGCCGACCUGAGAGGGUGAUCGGCCACACUGGAACUGAGACACGGUCCAGACUCCUACGGGAGGCAGCAGUAGGGAAUCUUCCGCAAUGGGCGAAAGCCUGACGGAGCAACGCCGCGUGAGUGAUGAAGGUCUUCGGAUCGUAAAGCUCUGUUAUUAGGGAAGAACAAAUGUGUAAGUAACUAUGCACGUCUUGACGGUACCUAAUCAGAAAGCCACGGCUAACUACGUG